This 429-nucleotide ribosomal RNA is filed under the name uncultured bacterium. RNAcentral describes it as "bacterial SSU rRNA". It matches the Rfam family "Bacterial small subunit ribosomal RNA", at positions 355 to 776 of the family's 1533-position model. The record is from RNAcentral.
UAGGGAAUUGUUCGCAAUGGGCGCAAGCCUGACGACGCAACGCCGCGUGGAGGAUGAAGACCUUCGGGUCGUAAACUCCUUUCGACCGAGAUGAACACUCACCGACCUAAUACGUCGGUGAGCUGACAGUAUCGAGGGAAGAAGCCCCGGCUAACUCCGUGCCAGCAGCCGCGGUAAUACGGGGGGGGCAAGCGUUGUUCGGAAUUACUGGGCGUAAAGGGUUCGUAGGUGGCUUGCUAAGUCAGACGUGAAAUCCCUCAGCUUAACUGGGGAACUGCGUCUGAGACUGGUGAGCUUGAGUGCAGGAGAGGAACGCGGAAUUCCAGGUGUAGCGGUGAAAUGCGUAGAUAUCUGGAGGAACACCGGUGGCGAGGCGGCGUUCUGGACUGCUACUGACACUGAGGAACGAAAGCCAGGGGAGCAAACGGG